Molecule: long non-coding RNA, 301 nt
Filed under: Bos taurus (domestic cattle)
Lineage: Eukaryota; Metazoa; Chordata; Mammalia; Artiodactyla; Bovidae
Description: long non-coding RNA NONBTAT017434
Source: RNAcentral
GUGCUGUCCAAUCCCAGAUCAUAGUGAUAUUUUGUAUUUUUAUUGUUUUACAAUUUUUCCCAAAACACUUUUAGUAACUACUGUGAAAAACGGUUAGGUAUUAUUGUUUUAGAGGUAGUAAAUUGAUUUGCCCAAGACCAUUCAUCCAUUUAUUGCCUAUUUAUUAAGUGCUGUCUGUGUGCUAAUAUAUAAAGAUGAGCGAAACAUUGACUUUGCCUGGUAGUAGAGGGAGAAAUAAUUACUAUAGCAGUUUACAUAUCAUGAGGGAUGAAUUCAUCCUUUUAACUCCAGGAAAGUUUUA